Non-coding RNA from Chiloscyllium plagiosum (whitespotted bambooshark), 975 nucleotides. The record is from RefSeq and is a predicted model, not a curated record. Lineage: Eukaryota; Metazoa; Chordata; Chondrichthyes; Orectolobiformes; Hemiscylliidae.
UCUAAUCUCCAGGCUUUUGUGUUUCAGUAUAUAUCCUCAGAAUAAAUCCACUCUUUGUAAAUUCAAGACAACAAGGUUAAAUUGUAUCCUUUAAAAACAGAAACAUAUUCGCAGGGGAAUACUUGAACUCAGGAAGUUAAUCUUGCUGUGACCAACCAGUGGAGUGGUUACUAAAUAAGAGGAGCCAGUUCACCUCGCCUAGACAACUUGGGGUGUCUAAUCUGGAGCCAUCAUAAUUUAGAAAACCUUAUGCAAAGUCUGGUCAUCAUGCUGAGGAGUUGCAAGUAUAAUUGAACUGUGCAAUCAUCAGCGAAGAUGCUUCUGUCUUACAGAGAAAGGAAGAUCAUCCAUGAAGCAGCUGACAACAUCUAGGCCUACAGCACACCAGAGAUUGAUUCUGAUUGGUGUCAAGUAUAAGAAAACCACGAGGAAUGAAUACAUUGGUUCCCUACCUCUGGAACACCAUACCUUGGUUCAACUCUCAGCAGCCGUAGAGAGAGAGCUCCACCGCUGAUCAGCAAAUCCUACAAGAAGAAAACGUGGCAAGGAGGAAUAGAUGUGCUUCUCUGUGAAACUGGCCAAGGUUACUGGGAAUCUGAAACUUCAGUAAAGAUCACUUUUCAAUCAUUUCCUAUCUCCAAAGACCCAGUUGAUGUUACUCAUCCUCUGUCCUGAUUGAAGCAGUAGUUGAGAUAAAAGAAAAUUAGAUUGCGUGCUAAUUUCUGUAUGUUUUUUCUCUUGAAUGUCACACGUAAUUCUCUGUUGCUGGAUGCCACACUUUGUAAAGCAAUAAAUCCAAACUGAAAUGGAAUUGCAAUACUGAUUAACUCGCUCACCACUGAAUUUGCACAAACCCUUCUUCGAGUAAUUUUGUUACUGCACAACUGGAAGAAGACUUUCCUGUAUAUUUGCUACACUCAGCAAAGUCCUGGAAAGGAUAUUUAGAUGAAUAUCCUACCACGUAAUCUAAUUACU